CGGUGACAGAUGCCGUAAUGGCUGGCGGCUCUCACUCGCAGGCGUCACGUGUCGUGAUUGGUUUGUUUAAUCGUGUAAAACAUUAAUGAUUCACCGAAUCAAUACGUUGGCGAACAUUUAACCCAUCAAGUUGUAAUUACGCUCCCACACCGUUGUGAUGGUUCCGUUACUUACAGCUUUUUGCAGCCUAUGCGUUUGCAACACCAAAACGAAAUACGUGCAACAGCUUACUGAGCAAAUUUUUGCGUGUGUACACACGCGCACGCAAUGCAUUUAUAUAUAUGCAUUUUAAUUCUCCAACGAUGACAUUUGAAUCGUCACGUCCGUGCUUCUGUAUCUCGCAGGUCGCGUGGGCCUGCGCCGAUCCCCGGCCUCUCUGCGUCGGGUGCCGGAUUCGGGUUGCCGGAGAGCCUCGUUUCAUUCCAAACGCGCUAUUGGCGACAUGUCACGAAGCAGCGCCUCGUGCUCGACAACAGCCCGCGCAAGCAGACAUCACAGAACUACUGCCGCGGCUCAGAUCUCUUGCAGUGGCCUCUCUACUCCAAGGACCGGUUCACAUCAUCGUCACUGGCCGUGAGCGGGAAUCGAACCCGGCUCGCCAGACCCCCGGGAUUUAAAAUCACCACCCGGUCUCGGGGCUGCUGCUGCUGCGAAUCCCCAGAGCUGAGCAGCAACAGCCCCUACUCGAGACUCGACGCACAGCUGCUUGAAGAGCCCCUCUGUCCCGGCGUGAACGGCACCCUCUUUUUUCACCUUCGUCACGUGCUCGGUCGUGGGGCGUGACGUGCGUGACGACCACCACCACCACCACGUGACUUUUUUUUGUGUCCUGCGGCACGUGGCGUUCAUUGUGAUCGGUUACUUUUGUUUGCUGGUGACUUUGUGUUUCGUAUCGACAUCGCCUCCGUUGCUGUUGCUGCUGGCGGCAAUAAAAGUA
Molecule: non-coding RNA, 937 nt
Organism: Petromyzon marinus (sea lamprey)
Lineage: Eukaryota; Metazoa; Chordata; Hyperoartia; Petromyzontiformes; Petromyzontidae
Source: RefSeq, a predicted model, not a curated record